GCCUCUCCCUCCAGGGUUCCGGGUUGGGAAGAGGGGGGCGAGGGGUGUUUUCGCGGGUCAUCGCGAAGAGCCUAGAGGCCAAGCCCCAGCGCGAGCUGGGGCGAGAGGCGUGUGCCGGGCUCGCAGCACGGCCCGCGGCGCGGCGCGUUCAAAGCCCACCCGCUUCUCGGUUUUCUCCGGACUCCUUGUCUCCCGCUAACUACCCGCCCCCACCUUCCUUGCUCGGACGCCUUCAUUUUCGGCGGGAGACGCCUGUCGCCUUCGGGGCGCCUGGCACGUCGGUGAGAGGAGCUGGGGGGCUCGCCGGCGCAGCCUGCCGGGCAGUCGCCGCCUCCUCCGCCAGAUCUGCGCUCGCGGGAGAAGAGAGCCGCCUUCCCGCGUUGCCCCUCCGCUGGCCUCUCUGGGUCUCCGCGCGCAGACAGCCUGGCCCGCCUAGGGAAAGAAUGAGUGUGGGACGUGACCCGUAGUGUGUGGUUGUGCAUUCACGCAGGUAAACGCUCUCUGGCAGACCCGCUACCACUUCACACAAGCAGCUCAGCCUCCGCGCACACAGACACGCACCGCACCGCCCACGGCCUCAAACACCCUUCCCAGCGACCCUCACACAGCUCAGGCGCUCCCAACCCUUGGACCAACACACAGGCCUGCCCAACGGGGAGGGCACACUUUGGUUUAAGUGCACACCUCAUGCACGCCCACAUGUUCUCCACUGCGCGUUCGCCCACGCAUAGCCAGGCGCCACGCGCAAAUAAUCAUAGGUACCGCCGCUCCAUACGUGCGCACGCGUCCACGAACACAAGCAUUCUCACAUUCUCUCCCAACUUGUGUGUGUGUGUGUGUGUGUGUGUGGCAAAUGGCAGUUGCAGAUAAGGAGACACUGGCCUCCGGAGGAAAGUUCUGUUCCCAGGAAGGGGUCGCUACUGCCGACUGCCAGAGCACAUCUGGCCCUUAGCAGAGGUGAGCAGAGAAGGCUGCACAGCUCUUAAGCCAGCUAGGGGUGCAGGGCGCACGCUGCGGCUCUCUGAAAGUGGAAAUAGCAUCUCCCUUCCCCUCGCCCCUCCCCCACUCAUGGGGCGCCUUCAAAGUGAGGGGGUCUCUAGAGCAUGAAGUUGGGGAGCCCUUUCCCAGCAGACUCCUUCACUCUUGGGCCCUCUUCAGUUGGGGAAGGGAAGCAGCAGGUCCCAUCUUUGGCUAACCCGGAGAUCCAUUUUUCCCUCCUUUCCACCCUUCUUUCUGCCCAUUCACCGGCUCUGACAGCAAACCAGACCUUACAGAACAGCCAGUCACGGAGCCCAGCGAAAGAGCCGGCCCAGUAGGCCUGGGAGUCUCAGGAAGGCCAAAGAUGGAGGCUCUCCCCAACUGCUCAUCUCUACUGCUGGGUGUGUGUAGAAGUGGGGGCGUGAGAGAGGAGGCGAAUGAGCUCCCAGCUCUGUAAUUUGGAGAGGACCCCCUGAAUUCUGGGGAAAACCACAGCCGUAGCAAGAAGGGCUUUCCUUCAUGCUCAGAGACUGCAUUCUCAGCUCUUACAAUGUCCCUGAGAGGUCUCCCUUGAUCCUACAUUUUUAGGGUGGAGAAACUGAGGCUCAGCAUGGACUUGGCUCUCUUAUCAGCCAGCACUGAGAGGUGAACACUCUCCGUCUCCCCUCUCUACGUCCAAGGACAAAAUUUCCUGGCGUUUCACUCUCCCAUGUGCCUCUGUGUAGGCGGGGAGUGGAGAGAAUGGGGCUUAGAAAUGCCUCUGCCAUCAUUACACAGCCCUGGCUUCCCAGGGCCAAGGGGACAGAGAGCCCCCAUUGGGGAACUGAUGGUGAUAAAAUAGCAAUGACAACUACGAAUACUAGAUAAUAACAGGCUCAUCCACUGCUGCCCAGGCACCAGGCGCUGCUCCUCACUCGAUGAACUGCCCUUGUCUGCUCCUAACCUUCCUCUUGGCUGUCAAUCCUUUGAAAACUAGUCCGACCUGCCCCCGCCCCCAGAAGGUGCAUAUUUGUGACAUUCGUAGAAUGAUUUUGAAGGUUUCACCAAAUGUCUGGAGCCCAUCUGUGAACCUGUGAGGCACCAACCAUGAACUCAGGACCCUGGUUAAGUGUCCCUAAGAGACUUGUGUAAUAUUCACCGAUGCCCCUACCAAGUCAGUAUAAUUUCCCUCCUCAUUCACAGAUGGAGCUCUGCGAGGUCACUCCAGGUCCUGGGUCACCCUGCAAAGCCAGUAUCCAAACCUGGCCUGAUUGCAGAACCAGGGCGUUAAGUGUCCUGACCACGGGGUGAGGCUCAGCGGUGCUCAGGGCAGAGGGGCCCCGCUGCCGCGAACCCCAAAGGCAGGGGAAUUUGAACUCGCCCCACCAUGUAAGGAUGAUGCAUAAGCUCUUUGCACCUUAGUUUCUUUAUCUGAAAAAUGGAACUCAUCAUGGUUCCUAUUUCUUGGAGUCGUACGGAGGGUUGGACAAGACCAUGCAGGGAAGGCUUAGGUUGUACAAACAGAAACAAAAACCCCAGGGACUCAGCUCCAGGGAUGGAGGAGAAAAUGCAGACAGGGACAGAGAUCGCGGGCAGCCUUUUGCUCUUGGAUUAAAAUCCAUGAAGACCGGCCCCCUCCCACCCCAAAACAAAUCUGCGCCCCAUCUCUGGCCCCAAGAAUCCUGAAAUUGGCCGAGCAGGGUGGGGGGUGUGUAAAAACGGACACGACUGCAACGUCUCCCACUCCCCAGGCCCAAGGUAUUUUUACUAGCUAAUUGCUUAAGCGAAGCCGCCCGGGCCGAGAGCGCGCCGUAACCCGAGCGGGGAACCAGAUCCCGCUCCGAGGGAGCCCAGGCCGGCCGCGCGGGCGGGGCAGGGGGCCGCCGACCACCCACCGCGAGGGCAGCCGCCCCGCCGGCCACCGCCGCCCGCGCUCGGCAUUAACGCCGGGCCCGCGCCCUCCUCGCCCGCCCCCGCUCCCUCCAACCCCCUGCGAGGCGAGGUUCAAACGACGCCUCAAGGUAGGGCGGCCAGCCAGGACCCGACGCGGGAGCUGGGCGGGAGGGAAGCGGCCUGUCCUCGGGGCUUCGGAAGGGAGGGAAGGAGGACCCGGCCGGGGGAAACGAAACUUCACGGCUGGCGGAGGAGCGCGGGAGGGAUAUUUGUGGGUGAAAGCGCAGCCCUGGGGACUAGGGGACUGUGGGGAAAUAUCAGGCCCAGCGGGUGGAUUAUAAGAAGGUCUGUGUACAGAUACCUGAGAUACUUCUCGCACGCUCUAAUUGUGCACGCGUCAUGCUGCUGGCGUGCAGAGGACUGUGGCCCGUACAGCCAGCACAGGGAAGGGGAGAACCAAAGUCUCCCUUGGCAGAAGAGUGUGAGGUGGGCGUCCAGUGUGAGGGGCUGGGCACGCAGAACAGUGAGAACUGUGCACAUAUAUCAGCCUCUGUGCGGGACAUUCCAGAAGGAUGUCGGUACCAUGCGGUGGUUUCACGUGUAAUGAAUAUUUUAAGAUGUGAGCAAUGUAACUUGUUAUGGAAGCCGAAUAUUUGAGUACAAAAUGAGGUGCUCUCUACACAGAAUAUGAGGAAAUGUGUGCACAGCAUAAUAGUGUUAUGUACACAGAUUCUUUCAGAUGUGUGCAGGAUAGCAUGUUACACAGACGUUACAUGUUCCUCUGGGAGGCGUGCAGCAAAUAACGUAUUCCAGACACGGAGUAUUGCAGGUUCUGUGAGCAUAAAACCUAGGAUACAUGUAGACUGCGUGUGCCCUGCAAUGGGUUCCAUGCAGGGUGCAUUUAGAGUUGUAUACAGUGCAGUGCCUGAGGAAACAGAACUCCGUGGGAGACCAGUGGAUGCAAAAUGAAUUCUGGCUACAGCACGUUGCAAGGACAGGGUCCACGUGGUGACCAGUACUCUCUCCGCCCAAGCGUCAGGCCAUGUGUGUACAGUAGCGCAUGGCUAUGCGAAGGGAAGACCGUCCCAGGGUUUCCACGCCGCCUGACACGCAGUCAUAGUAAGAAGGCAAUAAUGCAGUGACCACACAGCGAUCGGUUUCGGAACCCUGCCUGUGCCCUGGCUAGGCGCCUCAAGGUCAUCACCAGCUCACAAAAUCCCACUGUAAUGCUGAUUCUCUUUUGAUCUCAGGUGCCAGGGAAGCGAAAUGACGCUCUGACUUUAUUUUUGUAGCCAUCGAGUGACAUUUACCGGCUUUGUGGCUCUGGGAGGGGUGUGGUGGCAGCUCUUGGUGUGGUGUGGAGAUGCGGGGACAUGUGUGUCGGGUUCCCAGUGGGCCUGUGAGAGGCUGUGUGCCCAGGGCACGGAGCCACCUAUCUGCAGUGGGCAGAGGGAAGACGCCGGCGCAGGCGAGACCUGCGGAACCUGCAGCAGAAGAGGCCCCAAAUCCCGGGGUCCCCCAGUGUCUGGGGGCGAUGGCACUAUCAGGAGAGCUCCUGACCCAAGCCACACAUAUUAGGGGUGCUGUCUUCACUUGUGCCUGCUGCUGCCUGAUCAAUCUCAAACCAAGGUACUCAGUCAGGAGCAAGUAGCAAGCCAGGCUCUGGGCUCCUCCCCAGACUCUUCAUGAAGGUACCACAAGGUGAGGAGGAGAGAAAGGUGGCACGCGCUGGUCUACCCAGCCCUGUCACACCCACUUAGCACAGAUGGGACUGGGAACCCACCUGUGGGGACCAUCAAGGCCAACUUUGGGGAGCAGCUAUGACGAGGGCGAUCCCUGGUCCCAGGCCCUGGCAGUGAAUCUCCCCUUAGCUGAACAAUAUAGAGACGUUCAUUAGUUUGGUCAUGAAAAAAAAAAAGGAAAAAAUAAAAGAAAAAAAAAGAAAAAGGAUAGAAAGAAAGAGAAAAGAAAAUAAAAGGAAAAAAGAAAAUAAAAGGAAAAAAUGAAAAAAUAAAAGGAAAAAUGUAAAAGAAAAAAGUCUGGUGCUUGUGCUGCCGCAGCCCGAGCUCGCCCCUUCCACCGGCCCUUUUACCCAAAUGUACGCAUUUUCCAUGAUGUUCUUCAAGGAAAUAUUUGACAACAUUGCAGCCCAGGAAUCUCCAGCCCUCUUCCCGGUGAGAUUUUCAGAAGAUUUCUUGCAUCUGCAGUACACGUGGCUCUCAGAAACAGAAAGCGCCUGAGACAGUGAGCUUCCCGGUGCUCCCUUGCUGGACGCCCGGCCCAUCUGCAGCUCUGUCUUCCCACAGGGGCAGUGCCUGAGGCAACCCGAUAGAUUUUUAAUCUCUGCUGCAUGGACAGUUCUGCCUGGAAAGAUGGUGAUACUAUUUUCCUUACAGCAUGAAUGUGUGCGUAUGGGGCAUGUAAGUUGGGGGGGGGGUGUUGAAGGGGCUCCCAGAAUUUGUUUCUGAGCAAAGUGUCCACAUUAAAGGAAAUUGAUGCCAAAAAGGGGCAGCAGAGAAAGACAGGGAGCAGGCCUGUGACUCAGUUGCUCUCUGUGGAAUUAUAAGUCCUUCCGAGACCGGGAGGGAGCAAGGCAACAAAGAGAAAAGAGAUGGGAACGUGAAUCGGUUUCUAAAAGACCAACCAAAAGGAAAACAAAUUAAAUUUCACUGGGCAGGUGUUGUGUAGUUUCAGAUUUGAAAGAGAGAGGUGCGAUAGGCGUGCAUGUUCACCCCACAGGGAAGAGGGAAUCAGAAGCCAGGGAGACUCCUGGAAAUGGGGACCAUGGAAACAGAGGUGAAAGGGGAACGCGUUCAGGUUUGUUUCUUAAUCAAAGGUAGCAAUUGGCUCCCAGAAACCUGCUAAUGUGGACACUCAACAUGUACCCAUUGGUCUCCAUUUAUGGCUCGUAAUGCCCUGUCUAUUCUCGCUUAGAGGAUGUUGAAAAUGAUGCAAACAAGUUUUUGUUUUGUUUUGUUUUGUUUUAAGGGAGAAAACAAAAUCCACUCAACCAAGUGAUGCCAGGCUUGGGAAGGGAGGAAGGGGCUUUACUGGCUCAAGGAUGUUGCCCACAAUCCAGGGUUCCCUGAGAAAAUGAACGCGCCUCCCUCGUCUCACACCCUCCUCCAAGGCUAGUUUGGGUCCUUUUUGUCCCAGCCGGGUUGUAGUUCAGCCACUCCAGGAACCCCUUCAAGGAUUUACACUUGGACGUGUGCAGACAUGCACAGACCCACCGGCCUGUUUUGUUUGUUUUUUUUGCAAAAUCGAUUGGAGAGCCAGAUCCUGUGUGCCUGGCAUGGGCAAAGGUAACACAGCCCCUGGCAAGUCAGUAAAGAAGAAAAGUUCAGGGUGGGAGCCAGGUGGGGUGCACGCAGAACAGAGGCACAGGGAGACAGAGGAACCCCUGCCCACCCCAGAGAGAGACCGAGGAUAUUCCCUCAUCAGAAUUCAGAGACAUCUAGAGGCUCAGGGACAGGGGCGAGGCCCCAAGAGACAUAUACAAAGAUUGUGGGAGAAUCGGGGACUCAGCACAGUGAGGGAGGUGUGGAUGGAAGGCAAAGACGUGCAGGGAGACAGCAACACACACACAUGCACAGGCACAUACACACAACACGUGCACACACACACCUCACACAGAGCACACAAAUACACACAGAAAACAAAUACACACACAGGCACACACAGAACACACACAGGACACACAAAUGCACACACAGGCACACACAGAGAACACACAAAUGCACACACAGAGAGCGCACAAUACAAGCACACGCAUACACAGAUUCCAUUCACAUGGAUGGAUUUCCUUGGUUGGCUGCAGGGGAGUACCCGGAGGAAGAAGCGGGGUUUGGGGUGGCCAGAGCCCCACUCCAGAGACCCCCAUUCUCAGCUCUGGGUUUAAAACCCCGCUAAUGCAGGAAGGGUCCCAGAGGUGGAGAAGGGUUCCGUCCUGACCCUGGCACUAGCUCUGGCCUUGAGCAAAUGAUUUAAUCUCUCGGUGCCUCAGUCCCCAUCCACAGAGCUGACAUGAGGACCAGGCAAGGAACACCUGAAGUGCGUCCUGCAGGGUCUGGCAGGGGUGGGGGUGGGGGGAUGGGCACCGUAAUCUCAAACCAUGGCCGAAUUGUUAAACAAACAAAUAUAGCCAUUAGUGAUUGGGAGUGUGGGUCCCACCUGGCUAAGACUCCGCUCCACUGCUGUGUGACAUGGGGACAUGGGCUGGUGGCUUUGUCUCUCUGUGCUUGGUUUUCCUCAUCUGCAAAACAAGAACAAUGACAGCACCUCCUUUCUGGGUGGCUGAGCUGAUUAAAUUCGUUAGCUGUGGUUGUUAUUGUUGGGGGUGCAGAGCCCCUUCAAGCCUGGCAGUUUAGGGUCAGGGCCAGGCAUGAGCAGUAGUGGGGAGUCUAAGCUCUUGCGUGCUGGUGAAUGAGCACCUUCCCCUCUGGGCUCUGGGAGGAGCCUGGGGGUCAGCUAGCGGCCUCCUUGAGCCCUUGGAGAACUCAGAAAGACUUCUCAUCACCAAGACGGUGACACAGUCUCAGAUGUAGCCCCCAUCCUCUCAUGGCUGGGCUUGGUCCCCAGUCACCCUCUGCAGUCAACAGAGCCCCUCAUUAAGGGGUCCCCACCACAUUGUAGUGGCUGCCCCAGAACUGGGUCAGAAUCCCACCUCGCUGCCCCAUCUGCUGUGUGGCCCCUGGGCAGCUUCUUGACCUCUCUGAGCCCCCUUUCUCUUUUGCAGGAUGGCAAGAAUAACAGUCCCUGUGCCCUAGGGCAGCCAUGAAGACUAAAUGGAAAGAUAAUGCUGUUAUAAUUAGAGAACCACUGAGCACCCGCAGUGUGCAAGCACUGUGCUGAGGCAUUGCUGUUAUUUGCGCAGUUGCUGUUCUGAAGCCCAUUUCACAGACAGGAAAGCAAGGUGCAGCACAGAGGCAAACAGAUUUGUGAAGAGGUGACCCAAAUUUCAGACAAUGUUGGAUGCAAACGGAUUUGCCAGCAAUUGCAUCACUGUCAAAACCAGCUCUGCCCGUGUCUUCCGAAGAUACCAAGUGAAAUAUGUGUAGAUGGGAUUUACAUCUGAAAAACCAAGUGAGAAACUGAAGACCAGAGAGGGUGAGUGGUUUACCCAGUUUGGCACAACUGACCCCAACCUAGCCCUCCAUGAGGACUGAGCACAUGAGAGAUCCUGAGCCACAGCCACCCAGCCCUGCUCCUCUCGAAUUUCUGACCUACAGGAAGUGCAAGAAGUAAUGAAAGACUGCUGUUUAAAGCCACUGCAUUUUGGCAUGAUUUGUUAUGCAGUCAUAGAUAACCAGAAAACAUCGGAUUUACAUUUUAAGCAUAUGGUCUGUCUUGACGAACGUUUCACAUACAAUCACAAAGAGUGACUUUUCUACACUUGCUGAGAUUACUUCAUGCACAUAAAAGAAAACGCAACUACAGUGGACCCUGAACAACAUCGCCUCCACCCUGCUUCCCUUGUCCCCACACCACACUCCAGCCCAGGAACCAGCCAGCUAUGGCCUGCAGCCACUGAAGAAUGCUCGCAUAAGGAGCUCUUCUCUGCACAUACCCCGACACAGUGAUGGUAUCUUGCAGCUGCUGCUUCUGUCCAAGGCACUGCAGCCUACUCGUCAAAAGCCCGAAGCCCAGCUCUGCCAGCAGUGCACUGUGUGCUCUUAGGAAACAGAGAAGCAAAGAAGUUAGCAAGCUUGUUUUGGCAGAAGAAAAAACACAAAAUGCCCAACCACAGAUCCUCAAAAAUAUUGCUAAGCACUAAUUUUGCUAACAUGUUAGACAGCCUUCGGAUCUAGGCAAUCUUGUUCCUCAGCUGGAAAGAGUUCCUGCCAGCCAUGUGAUUCCAAAUCCACCCUGGACAUAUGGGGAUAAUGAGAAAAUCAGCUCCGGCCUUCCCUGGCCUUCCAGCCAAGUGAAUGGGGGCAUCCCCUGGUGCUUCAGCCCGGGGCCCACCCAGAGGAUGCUAGCUGGCCUGCAGAGGCCUCAACCGUGCCCUCCUGGACUCAGGUAAGACUGAGGUUUCCAUGCCCUCAAAACAAUUGUUCAGACAAAAACUCACUGCCCAGGUCAAAGUCACAGCACCAGAAAGCCAACCUGAGGAUGAAGACAAAGCUCCUUGUUGGCACAGUCCCCUGAUCAUUCAAGGUCAGCAUCUCCAUCAAAAUGGACCCAAUGCUGAGGCAAGAAGGAGAACAUCACUGUUAAGAAGAUGGAAAAUGCAUUUGAGGUGGACUGAACACAGCCAGGAGUUUUUGCUUAUCGACAGCACUGAAUCCUGCCUUGACUAGAGAGACUCGUCAUGUGAUCAACUGUGGCCAGAGGGCAUCCUGCAGACAGCUCCUGUCACACCACACUGACCAGACUCCUAUGAGUAUUUAAGCAUCUUCAGGCAAGCGAUUGACUGUCUUAUAAUGGUCUUACAAGUACGGAGCUUUAUUACCUGCUAAUAAUCAGAGCACAUGAUGGGACAAUAGAAUAUACGAGUGAAGUUCUAAAUGCAAGGUUGUUCUUAUUCUGUGAGUGGCAAAACUCAUGCAGUGAGCAGAUAAAGCUGGCAGGAGGCAUUGGCGCCCUAAUGCUGGGCACUAACCACCUGCCCGGACUGCGAAUAUCUGUUGGGUCCUUUCUAUAUCUGGUCUAUUCUCGUGUUUGAUUAUAUCCUGGUGGCAAGAAUAGCAAAAUCCACUCUCCUUCCUAUCCCAUGUGGAGAGGCAUGAUUUGAGUCAGAGAGCAUUAUCCUCUCUGCAUUAUCCAACCCCAUGUCCCAUGAUGCACUUUGUAGACAAGCAAGUGUCCCUGGUGGAGAAUCCACAGCCACACAUCCUCAUUGGUUGCAAGGAUCAGUGUCCAAUAUCUACUGCCAUGAUCAUUCUCAGUUUUACAUCCACAGAGCUUCAUAGAAUUCUAACACCACAGGUCCAAGUAGAGGUUUUGGCCUCAGAGUGGGCUAGAUUCCACCUCUGAAAGCAGCUGUGGGACUGUUUUUCCAUCUGUAAAAUGGAGACAAGAGUAUCACCUACCUCAUGGUGUUGGUGGGAUCGUUAAACAGAAUUCUGAUCAUGAAACCCUUAGCCUGCUCCCUGCAUAGGCUGCACGCGCUCAGUGACCUAUGGCUCUGUUUCAUGCUGACUUUACCAUCAUGUAAGCAGUUUUAAAAAUGCUAGAAGCUUUAGUCAUAGAAUUACCAUAUGAUACAGCCUACUGCAGAGUCCAGAGGCUGAGGCAGGAGAGUUACUUCAACCUGGGAGGCGGAGGUUGCAGUGAGCCAAGAUCGCGCCACUGCACUCCAGCCUGGGCAACAGAGUGAGAUUCUGUCUCAACAAAAAAAAAGAAGACAUGUGUCCCCAUCACAGUAUCAUACAGAGUGCUUCCACUGCCCUAAAAUACCCUGUGCUCUUCCUAUUCAUCCCUCUCUUCAACCCCAGCAACCACUGAUCUUUUUACCAUCUCCAUGGUUUUGCCUUUCCCAGAAUGUCAUAUUGUUGGAAUCAUACGCUAUGUAGCCUUUGCAGAUGGGCUUCUUUCACUGAGCAAUGUGCAUUGAAGGUGCCUCUAUGUCUUUUCAAGGGUUGAUAGCUCAUUCCUUUUUAUUGCUAAAUAAUAUUCCAUUGUCUGAAAGUACCACAUUUUGUUUAUCCAUUCACCUACUAAAGGACAUCUUGGUUGCUUCCAAGUUUGGGCAAUUAUAAAUAAAACUGCUAUAAACAUUG
Pan troglodytes (chimpanzee) is the source of this 10574-nucleotide RNA transcript. RefSeq lists it as uncharacterized. NCBI's taxonomy places the organism in Eukaryota, Metazoa, Chordata, Mammalia, Primates, Hominidae. The transcript has 9 exons. The record is from RefSeq and is a predicted model, not a curated record.